GCAGGGGUAGUCAAGCUUGGCCAACGGCGCAGGACUUAGGAUCCUGUCCCUAGCGGUUCUUGGGUUCAAAUCCCAACCCCCGCACCA
RNAcentral lists this transfer RNA (87 nucleotides) under Candidatus Methanomethylophilaceae archaeon. RNAcentral describes it as "tRNA-Leu". It matches the Rfam family "tRNA". Rfam says of the family: Transfer RNA (tRNA) molecules are approximately 80 nucleotides in length. Lineage: Archaea; Methanobacteriati; Thermoplasmatota; Thermoplasmata; Methanomassiliicoccales; Methanomethylophilaceae. The record is from RNAcentral.